This 253-nucleotide ribosomal RNA is filed under the name uncultured bacterium. RNAcentral's name for it is "partial 16S ribosomal RNA". It matches the Rfam family "Bacterial small subunit ribosomal RNA", at positions 524 to 776 of the family's 1533-position model. The record is from RNAcentral.
UACAGAGGGUGCAAGCGUUAAUCGGAAUUACUGGGCGUAAAGGGCGCGUAGGUGGUUACGUAAGUGAGAUGUGAAAGCCCCGGGCUUAACCUGGGAAUUGCAUCUUAUACUGCGUAGCUGGAGUGCAAUAGAGGGUAGUGGAAUUUCCGGUGUAGCGGUGAAAUGCGUAGAUAUCGGAAGGAACACCAGUGGCGAAGGCGGCUACCUGGAUUGACACUGACACUGAGGCGCGAGAGCGUGGGGAGCAAACAGG